RNAcentral lists this unclassified non-coding RNA (240 nucleotides) under soil metagenome. RNAcentral's name for it is "partial contains 5.8S ribosomal RNA, internal transcribed spacer 2, and large subunit ribosomal RNA". The record is from RNAcentral.
AACGCACGAGACCUGCGGACCUGCGGAAGGAUCAUUAACAAAGUAUUCUGGACCGCGUCAGCGGGACAGGUGGGAGCGAAGGGCCUUGGCCCUGAGUCUGAGGACUGAGAGCCUUGCCUGAGGGUCUUGCCCUGAGUCUAAAGGACUGAGAGUCAAGCCCUUUGUCACUCAUCACAAGAGGGCGCCUGCGAGGGCGUUCGCCCAGCGGGUGGGGGUGGGGUGUGACGUUCUCGCUGAUAA